AAUAUUGGACAAUGGGCGAAAGCCUGAUCCAGCCAUGCCGCGUGUGUGAAGAAGGUCUUCGGAUUUUAAAUCACUUUAAGGUGGGAGGAAGGAUUGUCGGUUAAUACCCUGCAAUUUUGACGUUACCAACAGAAUAGGCACCGGCUAACUUCGUCCCAGCAGCCGUGGUAAUACGCAGGGUGCAAGCGUUAAUCGGAAUUACUGGGCGUAAUGCGCGCGUAGGUGGUUUGUUAAGUUGGAAGUGAAAGCCCCGGGCUCAACCUGGGAACUGCUUUCAAAACUGGCAAGCUAGAGUACGGUAGAGGGUAGUGGAAUUUCCUGUGUAGCGGUGAAAUGCGUAGAUAUAGGAAGGAACAUCAGUGGCGAAGGCGACUACCUGGACUGAUACUGACACUGAGGUGCGAAAGCGUGGGGAGCAAACAGG
RNAcentral lists this ribosomal RNA (424 nucleotides) under uncultured bacterium. RNAcentral describes it as "partial 16S ribosomal RNA". It matches the Rfam family "Bacterial small subunit ribosomal RNA", at positions 360 to 776 of the family's 1533-position model. The record is from RNAcentral.